This 37-nucleotide transfer RNA is filed under the name Pseudoroegneria geniculata. RNAcentral's name for it is "partial tRNA-Phe". The record is from RNAcentral. Lineage: Eukaryota; Viridiplantae; Streptophyta; Magnoliopsida; Poales; Poaceae.
GUCAGGAUAGCUCAGUGGUAGAGCAGAGACUGAAAUC